AUGGUGACAUGUCCGCAAAAAGAAGUGCGUGGCAAAUCCUUAGGCCAACGUACCAGGAAGCAUCUUAGGCUAAUUCGAAGGAUAAGUGUGCAAUAUGUCGCAAAGUCCAAUAUUCAGACGGAAUUCGCAUUAGUAAAGAUGAUGGAUAUAAGAGGAGAAAGAUAAU
RNAcentral lists this non-coding RNA (166 nucleotides) under human gut metagenome. The record is from RNAcentral.